This is a long non-coding RNA of Papaver somniferum (opium poppy), 991 nucleotides long. RefSeq lists it as uncharacterized. The record is from RefSeq and is a predicted model, not a curated record. Lineage: Eukaryota; Viridiplantae; Streptophyta; Magnoliopsida; Ranunculales; Papaveraceae. The transcript is spliced from 3 exons.
UCCCCAUUUUCACAAUUAUCAUUAUCUUUUCGUUUUCUCUUCCUUCUUGAACGAGCAGAGAAGACUCCGAAGAGUGAAGAGCGGCCAUGUCUUCUUCUCUUACGAGCACCACUAUCUCACUGAUGCCAUCGCCACUAUUUAAGUUUUUCUUCUUUCUAGAUCAAUUUUUCUCUAACCCUCUUGUUUAAUCUCUACACUAGAAAACCUAGAUCCAGUAUUUCUAUUUAUUAUUUAAGGUUUCAAUUUUAGAGAUUCAGUAGGAGAUUACUUCGAUUGAGCAAAUAUUUUCCCAAUUUUACAGUCGUUCUUAGUCAGCUUUUGUAAAUUCUUUUAAUGGAGCAAAUGGAUUAAAUCCUUAAGGGUUUUUGAUAGUCAUUAGAAGGUGGACCAGCUAGAGAACUACCAAAGAAGGAAACAGAAGGUUUUCAAUUAGAGCAAUACGAAACGAAGACAAAGUUCAGAAGGGUUUAAGAAUGUCUAAAUAAGAAGAUUUUUCAAAAAGGUUUAACAAUGAGAGAAUUUUUCUCUUUUUCUUUGACUUUAUCAUCUCCUUAAAUAAAGAUCGAUAUAUCUAAAACUAUUCGGGAAAAAUCUUCUUUCUCUGCAAGUUGAAGAAGAACCCAUUUUAGAUAGUUUUGUGGGUAUUGCCAAUCUCAAACAAGUGAUGGAAAUUGUAGGAAGAUACGAUAAGAUGAAGCAGAAAGAUAGAGAGAAGAAGCAUAAAAUUAAAGAGAGGUUGGAUUGGGAGACGACAGAUGAAAACAAACGUUCUUUUGGUUUUCUGUUAACCAGUCAAUUUGUUUAUCUGACAGGUUGCAAGAAGUAUAUAAUAAACAUUUAGCAUCUCCAUAUUCAGAUGAUUUUAGGCCAUUUUCCGAGCUAACAUGGUGAUGAUAUAUGCCGCAUCCCUGUUAGAAUGGCAAGUUUUUGGGGUAGAGAUGUUGGCAAAGGACUAGCUACACAAUGGUGCAUCAUAUACUGUUAACAAUCA